UACGGAGGAUGCGAGCGUUAUCCGGAUUUAUUGGGUUUAAAGGGUGCGCAGGCGGCACGGCAAGCCGGCGGUCAAAUCGCGGGGCUCAACCCCGCCCAGCCGUCGGAACUGCCGGGCUGGAGUGGGCGAGAAGUGCGCGGAAUGCGUGGUGUAGCGGUGAAAUGCAUAGAUAUCACGCAGAACUCCGAUUGCGAAGGCAGCGCACCGGCGCCCUACUGACGCUCAGGCACGAAAGCGUGGGUAUCGAACAGG
This 252-nucleotide ribosomal RNA is filed under the name uncultured bacterium. Its description in RNAcentral is "partial 16S ribosomal RNA". It matches the Rfam family "Bacterial small subunit ribosomal RNA", at positions 524 to 776 of the family's 1533-position model. The record is from RNAcentral.